GACGUAGGGCGCGAGCGUUGUCCGGAAUUAUUGGGCGUAAAGGGCUCGUAGGCGGUUUGUCGCGUCGGGAGUGAAAACCUUGGGCUUAACUCAGGGCUUGCUUUCGAUACGGGCAGACUAGAGGUAUGCAGGGGAGAACGGAAUUCCUGGUGUAGCGGUGAAAUGCGCAGAUAUCAGGAGGAACACCGGUGGCGAAGGCGGUUCUCUGGGCAUGAUCUGACGCUGAGGAGCGAAAGUGUGGGGAGCGAACAGG
Molecule: ribosomal RNA, 253 nt
Filed under: uncultured bacterium
Lineage: Bacteria
Description: partial 16S ribosomal RNA
Rfam family: Bacterial small subunit ribosomal RNA
Source: RNAcentral